RNAcentral lists this unclassified non-coding RNA (390 nucleotides) under soil metagenome. Its description in RNAcentral is "partial contains 5.8S ribosomal RNA, internal transcribed spacer 2, and large subunit ribosomal RNA". The stretch from base 1 to 122 matches the Rfam family "5.8S ribosomal RNA", at positions 35 to 154 of the family's 154-position model. The record is from RNAcentral.
GAUGAAGAACGCAGCGAAAUGCGAUACUUGGUGUGAAUUGCAGAAUCCCGUGAACCAUCGAGUCUUUGAACGCAAGUUGCGCCCGAAGCCACUAGGCCGAGGGCACGCCUGCCUGGGCGUCACACGCCGUUGCCCCCCCAUCUACUCCUUCGGGAUUGCGGGGGGGCGGAUGAUGGCCUCCCGUGUGCCUAGCCGCGCGGUUGGCAUAAAUACCAAGUCCUCGGCGACGCACGCCACGACAAUCGGUGGUUGCGAAACCUCGGUUGCCCGUCGUGUGCGUUCGUCGCGCAUCGAGGGCUCGAAAAAAUGCUCGGCUCCGGCUGGGCUUUCAACGCGACCCCAGGUCAGGCGGGGUUACCCGCUGAAUUUAAGCAUAUCAAUAACGGAGGA